GAAAUGCGAUAAGUAAUGUGAAUUGCAGAAUUCAGUGAAUCAUCGAAUCUUUGAACGCACAUUGCGCCCGCCAGUAUUCUGGCGGGCAUGCCUGUUCGAGCGUCAUUACAACCCUCAGGCCCCCGGGCCUGGCGUUGGGGAUCGGCGGAAGCCCCCUGCGGGCACAACGCCGUCCCCCAAAUACAGUGGCGGUCCCGCCGCAGCUUCCAUUGCGUAGUAGCUAACACCUCGCAACUGGAGAGCGGCGCGGCCACGCCGUAAAACACCCAACUUCUGAAUGUUGACCUCGAAUUAGGUAGGAAUACCCGCUGAACUUAAGC
RNAcentral lists this unclassified non-coding RNA (320 nucleotides) under plant metagenome. RNAcentral's name for it is "partial contains 5.8S ribosomal RNA, internal transcribed spacer 2, and large subunit ribosomal RNA". The stretch from base 1 to 105 matches the Rfam family "5.8S ribosomal RNA", at positions 50 to 154 of the family's 154-position model. The record is from RNAcentral.